CUGGGCGUAAAGCGCGCGUAGGCGGUUAAUUAAGUAGAUGUGAAAUCCCAGGGCUCAACCUUGGAACUGCAUUUGAAACUGGUUAACUAGAGUUUUGUAGAGGGUGGUAGAAUUUCAGGUGUAGCGGUGAAAUGCGUAGAGAUCUGAAGGAAUACCAGUGGCGAAGGCGGCCACCUGGACAAUAACUGACGCUGAGGCGCGAAGGCGUGGGGAGCAAACGGGAUUAGAUACCCCGGUAGUCCACGCAGUAAACGAUGUCUAUUAGAAUUUUGUGGCUAUAUGCCGUGGGAUUCAAAGCUAACGCAUUAAAUAGACCGCCUGGGGAGUACGGCCGCAAGGUUAAAACUCAAAUGAAUUGACGGGGGCCCGCACAAGCGGUGGAGCAUGUGGUUUAAUUCGAUGCAACGCGAAGAACCUUACCAUCCCUUGACAUCCAGAGAAUCACCUAGAGAUAGAUGAGUGCCUUCGGGAGCUCUGAGACAGGUGCUGCAUGGCUGUCGUCAGCUCGUGUUGUGAAAUGUUGGGUUAAGUCCCGCAACGAGCGCAACCCUUAUCCUUAUUUGCCAGCGGGUUAUGCCGGGAACUCUAGGGACACUGCCGGUGAUAAACCGGAGGAAGGUGGGGACGACGUCAAGUCAUCAUGGCCCUUACGGGAUGGGCUACACACGUGCUACAAUGGCAAAUACAAAGGGCUGCUAACCAGCGAUGGUAUGCGAAUCUCCUAAAGUUUGUCGUAGUCCCGGAUCGGAGUCUGCAACUCGACUCCGUGAAGUUGGAAUCGCUAGUAAAUCGUGGAUCAGAAUGCCACGGUGAAUACGUUCCCGGGCCUUGUACACACCGCCCGUCACACCAUGGGAGUGGGCUGAACAGAAGUAUUUAGCUUUAACCUUUCGGGAAUGGCGAUGACCACAGUGUGGUUUCAAUGACUUGGAGGUGAAGUCUUUUACAAGGGUACCC
RNAcentral lists this ribosomal RNA (957 nucleotides) under Psychrobacter sp. E45a-6a. RNAcentral's name for it is "bacterial SSU rRNA". It matches the Rfam family "Bacterial small subunit ribosomal RNA", at positions 554 to 1502 of the family's 1533-position model. The record is from RNAcentral. Lineage: Bacteria; Pseudomonadati; Pseudomonadota; Gammaproteobacteria; Moraxellales; Moraxellaceae.